RNAcentral lists this unclassified non-coding RNA (346 nucleotides) under soil metagenome. RNAcentral's name for it is "partial contains 5.8S ribosomal RNA, internal transcribed spacer 2, and large subunit ribosomal RNA". The stretch from base 1 to 120 matches the Rfam family "5.8S ribosomal RNA", at positions 35 to 154 of the family's 154-position model. The record is from RNAcentral.
GAUGAAGAACGCAGCGAAAUGCGAUAAGUAAUGUGAAUUGCAGAAUUCAGUGAAUCAUCGAAUCUUUGAACGCACAUUGCGCCCGCCAGUAUUCUGGCGGGCAUGCCUGUCUGAGCGUCAUUUCAACCCUCAUGCCCCUAGGGCGUGGUGUUGGGGAUCGGCCAAAGCCCGCGAGGGACGGCCGGCCCCUAAAUCUAGUGGCGGACCCGUCGUGGCCUCCUCUGCGAAGUAGUGAUAUUCCGCAUCGGAGAGCGACGAGCCCCUGCCGUUAAACCCCCAACUUUCCAAGGUUGACCUCAGAUCAGGUAGGAAUACCCGCUGAACUUAAGCAUAUCAAUACGGAGGA